GACGAACGCUGGCGGCGUGCUUAACACAUGCAAGUCGAACGGAAAGGCCCUGCUUUUGUGGGUUUCUCGAGUGGCGAACGGAUGAGUAACACGUGAGUAACCUGCCCUUGACUUUGGGAUAACUUCAAGAAACUGCGGCUAAUACCGGAUAGUAGCUCCUGCUGCAUGGUGGGGGUUGGAAAGUUUCGGCGGUUGGGGAUGGACUCGCGGCUUAUCAGCGUGUUGGUGUGGUAGUGGCUUACCAAGGCUUUGACGGGUAGCCGGCCUGAGAGGGUGACCGGCCACAUUGGGACUGAGAUACGGACCAGACUCGUACGGGAGGCAGCAGUGGGGAAUAUGGCGCAAUGGGCGGAAGCGUGAUGCGGCAGCGCCGCGUGCGGGAUGACGUCCUUCGGGUUGUAAACCGCUUUAGCCUGUGACGAAGCGUGAGUGACGGUAAUGGGUAAAGAAGCACCGGCUAACUACGUG
This 468-nucleotide ribosomal RNA is filed under the name uncultured bacterium. Its description in RNAcentral is "partial 16S ribosomal RNA". It matches the Rfam family "Bacterial small subunit ribosomal RNA", at positions 28 to 507 of the family's 1533-position model. The record is from RNAcentral.